This 456-nucleotide long non-coding RNA is filed under the name Ananas comosus (pineapple). RNAcentral's name for it is "long non-coding RNA (ACOM_LNC012065)". Lineage: Eukaryota; Viridiplantae; Streptophyta; Magnoliopsida; Poales; Bromeliaceae. The record is from RNAcentral.
UGAAAAGAACAAAGAACUUGCAUAAUCUGCAUAUGUUAAUGUUGAGCAUAUUCCUUACUUUUGUUCAGACAUAUUAGUAUCAUGUUGUAGAUUGGUUACUAUAUUUCAGCUUAUCCUUUCUAUUAUGCCUGAGUUAGUCCUAGUGGGAAAGUCGGUGAUGUUGAGGCCGAACCCACUGGGAACUUUGUUGUAGUUCUCACCCCACUAUUUUCACAGAGCCGGGACCGAGCGAGCCGGCGAGCGACCGGGGUAAAGGUAUCGCGCCUUAGUCAGAGGCCACCCAAGUUGGGUUCCAUUUUGUAGUAAAGUACCCUAUAAUCAUAUUUGUAUAUGAUAGUAAAUGAUGUAAAGAAAAGAAUGUAAUAUGUAUUUUGAGGUAAAUGUGAUGUAAGAAAGAAAUGAUGAAAUGAAAUGUAAGGAAUUCGAAAAUGAACCAGAUGAAUGCUUGUAUAUGAU